AAGAUGCUAGUACAAUAGAUACUACAAUGCCUUGUCAAGGCAAAAAUGCGGGUUCAAUCCCCGCGCACCUUA
RNAcentral lists this transfer RNA (72 nucleotides) under Synodus poeyi (offshore lizardfish). Its description in RNAcentral is "tRNA-Asp". It matches the Rfam family "tRNA". From Rfam's summary of the family: Transfer RNA (tRNA) molecules are approximately 80 nucleotides in length. Their secondary structure includes four short double-helical elements and three loops (D, anti-codon, and T loops). Lineage: Eukaryota; Metazoa; Chordata; Actinopteri; Aulopiformes; Synodontidae. The record is from RNAcentral.